CACAGAGUCCUGCUCACAGUUACUGGGGCUGGGCAGCCCCAUCCCUGGGGGCCAACUGGGACUGGCUGCAGAGAGUUUUAGCCAUUCAAUGGGACCAGGUUGAUAUUGCUGGGCCAGACCUCCCCCGACCCAAGGGCACUCCUGUUCAACUCUGGACCCCUGAUUUAUUGACCAACCUGAAGGCCUCAGUCUCCAUUUUCCCCAAUCCAGCUCCACCAAGCAGAAAAAGCCCUGCCCAGGGUCCUCUUGGCGGGAGGACCUGAUCCAGCUUUGAGCCGGCCUCUUGGAUACUCGGAGGCCCAGGGGACCAGCCUGGCACAUCCACAAUCCCUGGUGAGCCCCACAGAACCCUCAAAUCUCACCAGAUCACCCUGGCCUAAAACCCUCCCUUAUCCCUUCUGGACUCUGAAAGAAACCCAAACUCCCUUCCACAGCCUGCCAGGGACACCAGCGGGAGCCUGAAGGAUAGGGAGUGGGGAGGGCAGGGGUCAGGGCCACUCAUGGACCCAUGGCUCAGGGACACCAGAGGAGCUCCCUUUAGGAAGGACUCAAACCCCUACCGCUCUCAGCAGCCCAAGUGGUGCCUGUACUCUCUAGCACGGGGGCUUCUGCCCACCCUCUACCGACUGCCCACAUUCACCAAGAGCCCUCACCCCUUCCUGAUACCCCAGUGACUCAGGGUCCUGCCAGCAUGUGCUGAGCUGC
Molecule: long non-coding RNA, 705 nt
Filed under: Homo sapiens (human)
Lineage: Eukaryota; Metazoa; Chordata; Mammalia; Primates; Hominidae
Description: non-protein coding lnc-HSPA12B-1:1
Source: RNAcentral